This 217-nucleotide ribosomal RNA is filed under the name uncultured bacterium. Its description in RNAcentral is "partial 16S ribosomal RNA". It matches the Rfam family "Bacterial small subunit ribosomal RNA", at positions 118 to 334 of the family's 1533-position model. The record is from RNAcentral.
UAAGCAACCUGCCCCAGAGACCGGGACAACAGUUCGAAAGGGCUGCUAAUACCGGAUGCGGCCUGGUGGAGACAUCUCUACCAGUCUAAAUCAUUUAUGGCUCUGGGAGGGGCUUGCGGCCUAUCAGCUAGAUGGCGGGGUAACGGCUCACCAUGGCGACGACGGGUAGCUGGUCUGAGAGGAUGGUCAGCCGGACUGGGACUGAGAUACGGCCCAG